UGCUUAACACAUGCAAGUCGAACGAAGCGCUUUCGAUUGAAUCUUCGGAGGAAAUAGGAAGUGACUGAGUGGCGGACGGGUGAGUAACGCGUGGGUAACCUGCCUCAUACAGGGGGAUAACAGUUAGAAAUGGCUGCUAAUACCGCAUAAGCAUACAGCACCGCAUGGUGCAGUGUGAAAAACUCCGGUGGUAUGAGAUGGACCCGCGUCUGAUUAGGUAGUUGGUGGGGUAACGGCCUACCAAGCCGACGAUCAGUAGCCGACCUGAGAGGGUGACCGGCCACAUUGGGACUGAGACACGGCCCAAACUCCUACGGGAGGCAGCAGUGGGGAAUAUUGCACAAUGGGGGAAACCCUGAUGCAGCGACGCCGCGUGAAGGAAGAAGUAUUUCGGUAUGUAAACUUCUAUCAGCAGGGAAGAAAAUGACGGUACCUGACUAAGAAGCCCCGGCUAACUACGUGCCAGCAGCCGCGGUAAUACGUAGGGGGCAAGCGUUAUCCGGAUUUACUGGGUGUAAAGGGAGCGUAGACGGAAGUGCAAGUCUGAAGUGAAAGCCCGGGGCUCAACCCCGUGACUGCUUUGGAAACUGUGCUUCUAGAGUGUCGGAGAGGUAAGCGGAAUUCCUAGUGUAGCGGUGAAAUGCGUAGAUAUUAGGAGGACAUCAGUGGCGAAGGCGGCUUACUGGACGAUAAC
Molecule: ribosomal RNA, 694 nt
Filed under: uncultured Lachnospiraceae bacterium
Lineage: Bacteria; Bacillati; Bacillota; Clostridia; Lachnospirales; Lachnospiraceae
Description: bacterial SSU rRNA
Rfam family: Bacterial small subunit ribosomal RNA
Source: RNAcentral